RNAcentral lists this ribosomal RNA (541 nucleotides) under uncultured bacterium. RNAcentral describes it as "partial 16S ribosomal RNA". It matches the Rfam family "Bacterial small subunit ribosomal RNA", at positions 355 to 896 of the family's 1533-position model. The record is from RNAcentral.
UGGGGAAUCUUGCGCAAUGGGCGAAAGCCUGACGCAGCGACGCCGCGUGCGGGAGGACGGCCUUCGGGUYGUAAACCGCUGUUGCCCGGGACGAAWNSCYCUUUCGAGGGSRUUGACGGUACCGGGUGAGGAAGCACCGGCUAACUCCGUGCCAGCAGCCGCGGUAAUACGGAGGGUGCGAGCGUUGUCCGGAAUCACUGGGCGUAAAGGGCGCGUAGGCGGCGCGASRAGKCGGSGGUGAAAGUCCGGGGCUCAACCCCGGAUCGGCCKUSGMGACUSUCGCGCUSGAGCACAGUAGAGGCGGGUGGAAUUCCGGGUGUAGCGGUGGAAUGCGUAGAGAUCCGGAAGAACACCGGUGGCGAAGGCGGCCCGCUGGGCUGUGGCUGACGCUGAGGCGCGACAGCGUGGGGAGCAAACAGGAUUAGAUACCCUGGUAGUCCACGCCGUAAACGAUGGGCACUAGGUGCCUGGGGGAGCGACCCCCUGGGUGCCGGCGCUAACGCAUUAAGUGCCCCGCCUGGGGAGUACGGCCGCAAGGCUG